CCUACGGGAGGCAGCAGUAGGGAAGAUUGCUCAAUGGGGGAAACCCUGAAGCAGCAACGCCGCGUGGAGGAUGAAGGUUUUCGGAGGGUAAACUCCUGUUGGUAGAGAAGAGAAUGACGGUAGCUAACGAAUAAGCACCGGCUAACGCCGUGCCAGCAGCCGCGGUAAUACGGAGGGGGCAAGCGUUACUCGGAAUCACUGGGCGUAAAGAGCGCGUAGGCGGGAUAGCAAGUCAGAUGUGAAAUCCUAUGGCUGAACCCUAGAACUGCAUUUGAAACGGUUAUUCUAGAGUAUGGGAGAGGUAGGUGGAUUUCUUGGUGUAGUGGUCACAUCCGUAGAGCUCCC
This 345-nucleotide ribosomal RNA is filed under the name uncultured bacterium. RNAcentral describes it as "partial 16S ribosomal RNA". It matches the Rfam family "Bacterial small subunit ribosomal RNA", at positions 338 to 700 of the family's 1533-position model. The record is from RNAcentral.